CAGCAGCCGCGGUAAUACGAAGGGGGCUAGCGUUGCUCGGAAUGACUGGGCGUAAAGGGCGCGUAGGCGGAUUGUUUAGUUAGGCGUGAAAUUCCUGGGCUUAACCUGGGGACUGCGCUUAAUACAGGCAGUCUAGAGUGAGGAAGAGGGUUGUGGAAUUCCCAGUGUAGAGGUGAAAUUCGUAGAUGUUGGGAAGAACACCGGUGGCGAAGGCGGCAACCUGGUCCUUGACUGACGCUGAGGCGCGAAAGCGUGGGGAGCAAACAGGAUUAGAUACCCGGGUAGUCCCUGUCUCUUAUAC
Molecule: ribosomal RNA, 301 nt
Filed under: uncultured bacterium
Lineage: Bacteria
Description: partial 16S ribosomal RNA
Rfam family: Bacterial small subunit ribosomal RNA
Source: RNAcentral